Molecule: ribosomal RNA, 253 nt
Filed under: uncultured bacterium
Lineage: Bacteria
Description: partial 16S ribosomal RNA
Rfam family: Bacterial small subunit ribosomal RNA
Source: RNAcentral
UACGGGGGGGGCAAGCGUUGUUCGGAAUUAUUGGGCGUAAAGCGCGUGUAGGCGGUUGUUCAAGUCGGGUGUGAAAGCCUUGAGCUCAACUCAAGAAAUGCACUCGAUACUGGAUGACUAGAGGACCGGAGAGGAUAGUGGAAUUCCCAGUGUAGUGGUGAAAUACGUAGAGAUUGGGAAGAACACCAGUGGCGAAGGCGGCUAUCUGGACGGUUUCUGACGCUAAGACGCGAAAGCGUGGGGAGCAAACAGG